GUCAGAUGCAGUGGCCCACACCUGUAGUCUCAGCUACUCAGAAGAUUGCGGUGAGAGGAUUACUUGAGCCCAAAAUUUCUGGGCUGUAGUGCGCUAUGCCUAGGGGUGUCCAUGCUAAGUUCAGUGUAAGUUUGAUGACUCAUGGGAGCUGGAGAUUGCCAGGUCGCCUAAGGAGGGGUGGCCGAGGUCAGUAAUGGAGCAGGUCAAAACUCCCAUGCCUGUAAAUAGCCACUGCACUCCAGCCUGGGCAACAUAAUGAGACUCCAUGUCU
Colobus angolensis palliatus is the source of this 271-nucleotide unclassified non-coding RNA. It matches the Rfam family "Metazoan signal recognition particle RNA". Rfam says of the family: The signal recognition particle (SRP) is a universally conserved ribonucleoprotein. It is involved in the co-translational targeting of proteins to membranes. Lineage: Eukaryota; Metazoa; Chordata; Mammalia; Primates; Cercopithecidae. The record is from Ensembl.